CCUACGGGGGGCAGCAGUGGGGAAUUUUGGACAAUGGGCGCAAGCCUGAUCCAGCCAUGCCGCGUGAGUGAAGAAGGCCUUCGGGUUGUAAAGCUCUUUCGGCGGGGAAGAAAUCGCACGGGUUAAUACCCUGUGUGGAUGACGGUACCCGAAUAAGAAGCACCGGCUAACUACGUGCCAGCAGCCGCGGUAAUA
RNAcentral lists this ribosomal RNA (195 nucleotides) under uncultured bacterium. RNAcentral's name for it is "partial 16S ribosomal RNA". It matches the Rfam family "Bacterial small subunit ribosomal RNA", at positions 338 to 525 of the family's 1533-position model. The record is from RNAcentral.